Molecule: non-coding RNA, 317 nt
Organism: Neolamprologus brichardi
Lineage: Eukaryota; Metazoa; Chordata; Actinopteri; Cichliformes; Cichlidae
Source: RefSeq, a predicted model, not a curated record
UUACAUUGCUGUAAACUUGGGUGUGCAACGCUUGUUCACUGCGUUGUCUGUUACGAAACAUGGAGCAAUUAAGGCACCGGGUGUUCAUCUCAGGGGCAGCUGUACUCCGUUUUCUGCUGGAUUAAUGCACCGCCCCAUACUGUGAUUUGGUGAUUGCCGAGUAUCUGAGGGCUGAAGCUGGAUUUUUGUUCUCCUACCGACCGAACACUGGUUCUAAAUGGUUUUAAAAAACUGAGGGUGGACCAGUAGCAGUGUGAUCUAUAAUACGGCACCUUGAAUGUGAGACUGUCUGGUAUCCCUUUUAUUGGCCCUGCAUU